RNAcentral lists this ribosomal RNA (308 nucleotides) under Babesia bovis. RNAcentral's name for it is "SSU rRNA". It matches the Rfam family "Eukaryotic small subunit ribosomal RNA", at positions 1334 to 1668 of the family's 1831-position model. The record is from RNAcentral. Lineage: Eukaryota; Apicomplexa; Aconoidasida; Piroplasmida; Babesiidae.
AACGAGACCUUAACCUGCUAUUUAGUCGCUCGGUCUCUGUCCGUGCGCACUUCAUAGAGGGACUCUGCGGCGUCAAGCUGCGGUGAGGUUUAAGGCAAUAACAGGUCUGUGAUGCCCUUAGAUGUCCUGGGCUGCACGCGCGCUACACUGAUGCUUGCCUCGUGUUUACCCUCGGCCGAUAGCCCUGGUAACCCCUAGUCUGCAUCGUGUUUGGGAUUGAUCUUUGCAAUUCUAGAUCAUGAACGAGGAAUGCCUAGUAUGCGCAAGUCAUCAGCUUGUGCAGAUUACGUCCCUGCCCUUUGUACACA